CAGUCAACCUUUCCUCAACUACCAGAAACAAAGGAAAACAAAUCUGUUUACACAAGUGGUGUGAUCCACAAUCCCUUUUUCUCCAGACCCAGUCUGUCCCUAAUCAGCAAACGUAUGGUAGACAGAAGAGAACCCACAUUUGAAAGACAAGGCAUUUGAAGUAAAUUGUUUAUUGAACAAAUCAUGUAAGAGUAGCAGGAACACCAGGACAAAUCAAAAUCAUAACCGUACAACCUAAGUGUCAGCAAUGGUGGCCAAAUCAGAUGUAAAUUUUAGUCGUAUGAUUUUGAAAAUAAUUCAUACCAUUGUAGUGUUCACCCCUGUAAACAAUUUGCAUAACGAUGCGCAAGUGAAGGAGAUCCACAUUUCAAACAAGUGCAUUAGUUUGCACAAUUCCUCACCUCAGUUACCUUUGCCCUUUUCUUCAAAUGGAGGCACAGUAACAGGGGAAAGACGAUUAAGGAGUUAGGGAGAUCAUAAUUUGGUUUGCCCAUCUAGCUUGUUGAGGGGUCGGGCAGUCUGAUCAAGGCCGGCUACCGCUGCAGCAGAGGCACGGGAGCCGGCGGCCGCUUCUGCUGAGGCAUGGUUGGCAGUUGCUCCAGCUGAGGCGCGGGGGCCAGCCGCUUCUGCUGAGGCAUGGUUGGCAGUUGCUCCAGCUGAGGCGCGGGGGCCAGCCGCUUCUGCUGAGGCAUGGCUGGCAGUUGCUCCAGCUGAGGCGCGGGCCACUUCCAUAGAGGUAUGGUUGGCAGUUGCUUCAGCUGAGGUGUGGGCCGCUUCUUGGUUGGCAGUUGCUCCAGCUGAGGCGCGGGGGCCAGCCGCUUCUGCAGAGCUAUGGUUGGCAGUUGCUACAGCUGAGGCGCGGGCCGCUUCCGCAGAGGCUCGGGGGCCGGCGGCCGCUUCUGCUGAGGCAUGGUUGGCAGUUGCUCCAGCUGAAGCGCAGGGGCCAGCCGCUUCUGCUGAGGCAUGGUUGGCAGUUGCUCCAGCUGAGGCGCUGGGGCCAGCCGCUUCUGCUGAGGCAUGGUUGGCAGUUGCUACAGCUGAGGCAUUUGUCCCGGCGUCACACUUGCCAGAGUAUUGGUGCCAGUAGCUUUAGCAUUUGGAACAGACACCACACUUGCUUGGGAUCCAGAUGGUUCAGGUCCAGUGCAUGCAGGAUGCCCAUAAGCAUCACCUAGGAAACAAAACAUUAUGGUAAAACGCCAGCCUUAAGCUAUUGGAACUAG
This is a long non-coding RNA of Oncorhynchus tshawytscha (Chinook salmon), 1223 nucleotides long. Lineage: Eukaryota; Metazoa; Chordata; Actinopteri; Salmoniformes; Salmonidae. The record is from Ensembl.